UUUUUCUGCAGAGUCGCGCCGGGGUCGCCUUCCUCGCGCACUGGCUUCCAAGCGGAGCCAGCCUGAGCGCUGGGUGCAUUUCCUGAGGAUACAAGGGACAGACAGGAGAGGCAUCGAGGAGGACCGGUGGGGUGUAAUAAAGUUCAUAAGAGGGUGUGGGGCGGUCCAGUCUCCCACUGCCAGUC
This is an unclassified non-coding RNA of Cricetulus griseus (Chinese hamster), 185 nucleotides long. Ensembl annotates it as predicted gene, 27893. The record is from Ensembl. NCBI's taxonomy places the organism in Eukaryota, Metazoa, Chordata, Mammalia, Rodentia, Cricetidae.